GGGGAAACGACAUCGAAAGCUUGCUUUUGAUGGGCGUCGACCGGCGCACGGGUGAGUAACGCGUAUCCAACCUGCCCACCACUUGGGGAUAACCUUGCGAAAGUAAGACUAAUACCCAAUGAUAUCUCUAGAAGACAUCUGAAAGAGAUUAAAGAUUUAUCGGUGAUGGAUGGGGAUGCGUCUGAUUAGCUUGUUGGCGGGGUAACGGCCCACCAAGGCAACGAUCAGUAGGGGUUCUGAGAGGAAGGUCCCCCACAUUGGAACUGAGACACGGUCCAAACUCCUACGGGAGGCAGCAGUGAGGAAUAUUGGUCAAUGGACGAGAGUCUGAACCAGCCAAGUAGCGUGCAGGAUGACGGCCCUAUGGGUUGUAAACUGCUUUUAUAAGGGAAUAAAGUGAGUCUCGUGAGACUUUUUGCAUGUACCUUAUGAAUAAGGACCGGCUAAUUCCGUGCCAGCAGCCGCGGUAAUACGGAAGGUCCGGGCGUUAUCCGGAUUUAUUGGGUUUAAAGGGAGCGUAGGCCGGAGAUUAAGCGUGUUGUGAAAUGUAGAUGCUCAACAUCUGCACUGCAGCGCGAACUGGUUUCCUUGAGUACGCACAAAGUGGGCGGAAUUCGUGGUGUAGCGGUGAAAUGCUUAGAUAUCACGAAGAACUCCGAUUGCGAAGGCAGCUCACUGGAGCGCAACUGACGCUGAAGCUCGAAAGUGCGGGUAUCGAACAGGAUUAGAUACCCUGGUAGUCCGCACGGUAAACGAUGGAUGCCCGCUGUUGGUCUGAAUAGGUCAGCGGCC
This 792-nucleotide ribosomal RNA is filed under the name uncultured bacterium. RNAcentral's name for it is "bacterial SSU rRNA". It matches the Rfam family "Bacterial small subunit ribosomal RNA", at positions 60 to 848 of the family's 1533-position model. The record is from RNAcentral.